Gasterosteus aculeatus aculeatus (three-spined stickleback) is the source of this 2067-nucleotide long non-coding RNA. The record is from Ensembl. Lineage: Eukaryota; Metazoa; Chordata; Actinopteri; Perciformes; Gasterosteidae.
ACGUCAGUCGUAAAAUGAGUUUAACCGUGUUUCAUGUUGAUCCUUCACGUUAUGACCAGCACGAGAUGCGCACACUGUCAGGUGGUUGUUUUCCAUCGUCCAUAAAUUGACACAUGCAGCUUUUGAAGCACUACUUUAAGUCCUCACGUGAGGUCGGCGUCUCCCCUGUGCAGUGUUUGCUGUGCAGCGAGUGUGACAUCUGCAGGCUGCAGGCAGGAGCACACGUUUGUGUGUCACAUUAGCUCUGUGUCAUACAGCAUGUGUGUAUGUGUGUCUCCUGCACAGAACUACCUGUUAUGUUUUGUCCAACCCCAUAGCGAGACCCUGUGUGUGUGUUUUUGUUUUUGUGUACGUGGGUGUCCGUGUCCUCUGCAGGGUGUAUAAGUGGGUCUGAGUUUCCUUUCCCUGUGUCCUCCCUUGGCGCCUCUUCCCUUCCUGAUGACUUGUGUGUGGUGUUUGUAGUGGAACUGGACAAAGGACCCUACGGACUGGGCAUGGGACUCAUCGACGGCCUGGUACCGCCUCCUCCUGCUGAUCGCCCUCCUGAGCCGUGAGAGGACAGACGUGUGCACGCGCAGAUGACGCUCCGAACCGCUUCCCCUCCCGGCGAACCUGUAACCCAUCACAAGGAAUACGCUGCGAGGGCAAAGUGGCCUAAUUAAUCAGCGGUUGAGGCACGCCAGGUAAUACGCCAGAUAACACGCCAGUCUGAUGUGGUUUUCAAAGCACAGCCGAGUUUCUCUUCAGUCCGCGAUCAGAGCUUGUGACCACAUCACUUUUUUUUUUUUUUUUCACCUGUAUUUUUAGAAACUCAGUCAUUAAGUAGCGUGGUAAAAUAGCUACCCAGCUCUCUAACGGAAGGACUCUGAAACGCUUCUUUAUGAUUCCAAGAGACUUUGCAGAGGAACAAGAGGACGCCCUCGGUGAACCUGGAGGCUUUUACACAGCGCUUUAAGUGCGUUGGAGGUUUUAUAUUUCGGUUUGUUGGCCACUCAAAGUCUGCUCAACAGACCCUUGUGUCCAAAUGUUGCCUUUAGUCGUUUUGUACUGGAGUGUGGGUCACCGAGGGAGGCGACUCGAGACCCGCAGACCUCUCUGCUCUCCCAUUUCCCUUUUAACUUAACCGCUGGACUUUAUACCGCAGCUGGGAAAAGAGCAGCUGUGGGGAUGUGCAGAUGUUGUGGGACAUUCUUUAUUAUAUAUGACUGGAUCAUCGGGGAAACGCGCUUCACUUUCUAAUGCACAACCCCUGUUUAAACAAAGCUCACUUUUGUUGUGAAUAUAUGCUUUAUGUAUCUGGUUACGGGGAGUGAAAUAGUGUGUAAAUAUGUAACACUUGGUCACACACUGUUUGAGCAGUCAGAAGAGAAACUAAUCAAUCAUGGUCAAUAUACUGGUCACUAAAACCUACGGAUGGAAAGGAUUCUUUUUCUAAAAGUUAUAAAUGUAUUAAAGUACUAUGAACAGGAAUUAAAGCUGCACUUUUUGGGGGGGCGACGACACCCAAUUUACAAAAAACUUUUGUACUGCUUUGAGCUGUGCACAAUGCAGGUAAGAGAACCAACAUGUUUUCAUGUCAUUCGGCUUUUUAAGAGUUCCAGAUCGCCUUUUAUUUUUAUAAAGUCCAAAACUUUGGUCACUGCAGAAGGAAAGCCACGAUGAGUCGGUUCUGUGCCACGCGGCGUCCUGAUGUGACCACCGUUCCGGGAGCAGUAACCCGCUGCAGAACCAGACGUUUUGUUUGCUCUCAUGUACAAGCAACUGCCCCCAACUUACUACAAAUCUUCCUUCCAGUUGAUCAAAAUAAUCUGUCCAAAUCCAAAAGAUUUCUUUUAAAAGUAUCAAACCCAAACAACAUAUGAGAAAGUUAAACCAGCACCAAAGCUGACGGCUUCAUUUCUAUUUGUCAGCCUGAACAUCGUUUCUCGCCGCCUCAGCUUUGUUUUACUUUACUUUUUUGCAGUAACAGUUUGAGUUCUCAAAUUUGUAUUACAAUGAUCUUGUGCAUGUCCAUUAUUUAUACUGUUGUGACAAUGAUGGUACCCAGAAUAAAGCUGGUUGGAUACC